This 79-nucleotide microRNA precursor is filed under the name Carlito syrichta (Philippine tarsier). Its description in RNAcentral is "miRNA (ENSTSYG00000035625.1)". The record is from RNAcentral. Lineage: Eukaryota; Metazoa; Chordata; Mammalia; Primates; Tarsiidae.
GGAGGAUUGCUUGAGCCCAGGAGGUGGAGGCUGCAGUGAGCCGUGAGCAUGCCACUGCACUCCAGCCUGAGUGACAGAG